RNAcentral lists this RNase P RNA (203 nucleotides) under Desulfobacter sp. Its description in RNAcentral is "partial RNase P RNA component class A". It matches the Rfam family "Bacterial RNase P class A", at positions 179 to 367 of the family's 367-position model. Rfam says of the family: Ribonuclease P (RNase P) is a ubiquitous endoribonuclease, found in archaea, bacteria and eukarya as well as chloroplasts and mitochondria. Its best characterised activity is the generation of mature 5'-ends of tRNAs by cleaving the 5'-leader elements of precursor-tRNAs. Lineage: Bacteria; Pseudomonadati; Thermodesulfobacteriota; Desulfobacteria; Desulfobacterales; Desulfobacteraceae. The record is from RNAcentral.
AGUUCUCCGGGUGACCGGGGAAGCUUGGUAAACCCCGUCCGGUGCAAGACCAAAUAGAGAGACGCUUGAGGGCUGCCCGCCCAAGUCUCCGGGUAGGUUGCUCGAGAUGUAUGGCAACAUGCAUCCUAGAUGAAUGACCGUUGAUCUUUUUGCGGGUAACCGCAAGAAGGUAACAAAAUUCGGCUUACGGGCCGGUCAGACCG